RNAcentral lists this ribosomal RNA (429 nucleotides) under Gemmatimonadota bacterium. RNAcentral's name for it is "Gemmatimonadetes bacterium partial 16S ribosomal RNA". It matches the Rfam family "Bacterial small subunit ribosomal RNA", at positions 355 to 776 of the family's 1533-position model. The record is from RNAcentral. Lineage: Bacteria; Pseudomonadati; Gemmatimonadota.
UAGGGAAUCUUCGGCAAUGGACGAAAGUCUGACCGAGCAACGCCGCGUGAGUGAAGAAGGUUUUCGGAUCGUAAAACUCUGUUGUUAGAGAAGAACAAGGACGUUAGUAACUGAACGUCCCCUGACGGUAUCUAACCAGAAAGCCACGGCUAACUACGUGCCAGCAGCCGCGGUAAUACGUAGGUGGCAAGCGUUGUCCGGAUUUUUUGGGCGUAAAGCGAGCGCAGGCGGUUUCUUCAGUCUGAUGUGAAAGCCCCCGGCUCAACCGGGGAGGGUCAUUGGAAACUGUGAGACUUGAGUGCAGAAGAGGAGUGUGGAAUUCCAUGUGUAGCGGUUAAAUGCGUAGAUAUAUGGGGGAACACCAGUGGCGAAGGCGGCUCUCUGGUCUGUAACUGACGCUGAGGCUAGAAAGCGUGGGGAGCAAACAGG